CCCCUAGUAACGGCGAGUGAAGCGGGAACAGCUCAAAUUUGAAAUCUGGCCUUCGGGUCCGAAUUGUAAUUUGUAGAGGAUGCUUUUGGUUAGGUACUUUCCGAGUUCCCUGGAACGGGACGCCUUAGAGGGUGAGAGCCCCGUACGGUUGGAUACCGAGCCUCUGUAAAGCUCCUUCGACGAGUCGAGUAGUUUGGGAAUGCUGCUCUAAAUGGGAGGUAAAUUUCUUCUAAAGCUAAAUACCGGCCAGAGACCGAUAGCGCACAAGUAGAGUGAUCGAAAGAUGAAAAGCACUUUGAAAAGAGGGUUAAAUAGCACGUGAAAUUGUUGAAAGGGAAGCGUUUAUGACCAGACUUUUUCCAGGCGGAUCAUCCGGUGUUCUCACCGGUGCACUUCGUCUGGUUGAGGCCAGCAUCGGUUUUCGUAGAGGGAUAAAAGCGGUAGGAAUGUGACUCCCCCGGGAGUGUUAUAGCCUGCCGUAUAAUACCUCUAUGGGGACCGAGGUUCGCGCUCUGCAAGGAUGCUGGCGUAAUGGUCAUCAACGACCCGUCUUGAAACACGGACCAAGGAGUCGAACAUUUGUGCAAGUGUUUGGGUGUUAAACCCUCACGCGUAAUGAAAGUGAACGGAGGUGAGAGCCCUUACGGGUGCAUCAUCGACCGAUCCUGAUGUUUUCGGAUGGAUUUGAGUAAGAGCAUAACUGUUCGGACCCGAAAGAUGGUGAACUAUGCGUGGAUAGGGUGAAGCCAGAGGAAACUCUGGUGGAGGCUCGCAGCGGUUCUGACGUGCAAAUCGAUCGUCAAAUCUGCGCAUGGGGCGAAAGACU
RNAcentral lists this ribosomal RNA (826 nucleotides) under Subsessila turbinata. RNAcentral describes it as "eukaryotic LSU rRNA". It matches the Rfam family "Eukaryotic large subunit ribosomal RNA", at positions 77 to 932 of the family's 3401-position model. Lineage: Eukaryota; Fungi; Ascomycota; Sordariomycetes; Amphisphaeriales; Beltraniaceae. The record is from RNAcentral.